GCCAUGUCACUUUAAAACUCUGGUUCUCGUCCUAUCCCCAAAGUUAAGCAACGUCGAGCUUGGUCAGUACCUGGAUGGGUGACCGCUUUAGGAAUCUAGGUGAUGUAA
This is a non-coding RNA of Acanthosepion pharaonis, 108 nucleotides long. NCBI's taxonomy places the organism in Eukaryota, Metazoa, Mollusca, Cephalopoda, Sepiida, Sepiidae. The record is from the annotation of a GenBank genome assembly.